GCUACGGGAGGCAGCAGUGGGGAAUAUUGCACAAUGGGGGAAACCCUGAUGCAGCGACGCCGCGUGAGUGAAGAAGUAUUUCGGUAUGUAAAGCUCUAUCAGCAGGGAAGAAAAUGACGGUACCUGAGUAAGAAGCCCCGGCUAACUACGUGCCAGCAGCCGCGGUAAUACGUAGGGGGCAAGCGUUAUCCGGAUUUACUGGGGUUAAAGGGGGCGUAGACGGCAGCACAAGUCUGGAGUGAAAUGCCGGGGCUUAACCCCGGAACUGCUUUGGAAACUGUGCAGCGAGCGUGCAGGAGGGGUAAGUUGAUUUCCUAGUGUAGCGGUGAACUGCGUAGAUAUUAGGAGGACCACCAGUGGCGACGGCGGCUUACUGGACUGUAACUGACGUUGCGGCUCGAAAGCGUGGGGAGCAAACAGGAUUAGAUACCCGUGUAGUC
RNAcentral lists this ribosomal RNA (440 nucleotides) under uncultured bacterium. RNAcentral describes it as "partial 16S ribosomal RNA". It matches the Rfam family "Bacterial small subunit ribosomal RNA", at positions 338 to 795 of the family's 1533-position model. The record is from RNAcentral.